CCUACGGGUGGCAGCAGUGGGGAAUAUUGGACAAUGGGGGCAACCCUGAUCCAGCCAUGCCGCGUGUGUGAAGAAGGCCCUCGGGUUGUAAAGCACUUUCAGUGAGGAAGAACGCCUGGUGGUUAAUACCCAUCAGGAAAGACAUCACUCACAGAAGAAGCACCGGCUAACUCCGUGCCAGCAGCCGCGGUAAUAUGGAGGGUGCGAGCGUUAAUCGGAAUUACUGGGCGUAAAGCGCGCGUAGGUGGCUUGAUAAGCCGGUUGUGAAAGCCCCGGGCUCAACCUGGGAACGGCAUCCGGAACUGUCAAGCUAGAGUGCAGGAGAGGAAGGUAGAAUUCCCGGUGUAGCGGUGAAAUGCGUAGAGAUCGGGAGGAAUACCAGUGGCGAAGGCGGCCUUCUGGACUGACACUGACACUGAGGUGCGAAAGCGUGGGUAGCAAACAGGAUUAGAUACCCGUGUAGUC
Molecule: ribosomal RNA, 465 nt
Filed under: Vreelandella stevensii
Lineage: Bacteria; Pseudomonadati; Pseudomonadota; Gammaproteobacteria; Oceanospirillales; Halomonadaceae
Description: partial 16S ribosomal RNA
Rfam family: Bacterial small subunit ribosomal RNA
Source: RNAcentral